UGUUUGUGUAGGUACUUGUGACAAUCCUUCACUGGAUCGAUCCCUUGGUUCUCAAAAACUGAGGGAAAUACUUACCACCAAUGUGCUACAUCACCCUUUCCGCUUCGAGGGAACACCAACGCAAGGCUCCAAGGCCACGGGGGAACCCUUUGCAUAUUUGCCAAGGAAGUCCCUAAAGGCGUAGCCGUAGCAGAAGAAUUCCGGGUGCCGUUGCUGAGGAUUAUCAAGACAAGAAUAGUCUCCCGUCAACACGCUUGUUUCUGGCGCCGUUGGAAGGUAUUUUGUUGCAGUAGCAGUAUGCAUGUGAUGUGAUAUGGACAAAG
Molecule: long non-coding RNA, 323 nt
Filed under: Hordeum vulgare
Lineage: Eukaryota; Viridiplantae; Streptophyta; Magnoliopsida; Poales; Poaceae
Description: long non-coding RNA (HVUL_LNC011574)
Source: RNAcentral